RNAcentral lists this ribosomal RNA (32 nucleotides) under Nodularia harveyana CCAP 1452/1. RNAcentral describes it as "partial 23S ribosomal RNA". The record is from RNAcentral. Lineage: Bacteria; Bacillati; Cyanobacteriota; Cyanophyceae; Nostocales; Nodulariaceae.
GGUCAAGCUAAUAAGGGCUGACGGUGGAUACU